UACGGAGGGGGCUAGCGUUGUUCGGAAUUACUGGGCGUAAAGCGCACGUAGGCGGACUGUUAAGUCGGGGGUGAAAUCCCGGGGCUCAACCCCGGAAUGGCCUUCGAUACUGGCGGUCUUGAGGUCUGGAGAGGUGAGUGGAAUUACGAGUGUAGAGGUGAAAAUCGUAGAUAUUCGGAGUAACACCAGUGGCGAAGGCGGCUCUCUGGCCAGAUAAUGACGCUGAGGCGCGAAAGCGUGGGGAGCAAACAGU
This 253-nucleotide ribosomal RNA is filed under the name uncultured bacterium. RNAcentral describes it as "partial 16S ribosomal RNA". It matches the Rfam family "Bacterial small subunit ribosomal RNA", at positions 524 to 776 of the family's 1533-position model. The record is from RNAcentral.